GAUGAAGAACGUAGCGAAAUGCGAUAAGUAAUGCGAAUUGCAGAUCUCCGUGAGUCAUUGAAUCUUUGAUCGCACAUUGCGCCCUCGGGUAUUCCCGAGGGCAUGCCUGUCCGAGCGUCAUUAUCCAACCAUCAAGCUCGGCUUGCGGUUGAGCCCCGCACCGUCCCCGGGACGGUGGGCUCGAAACAUGUUGGGCGCCCGUGAGGCUGUCGGUGCAGCGAGCUCUCGAGCACGUGCCGGGCAACCGCUCUGGGCGUCGGCCAGCCCCCCCAUUUUCUCAGGUUGACCUCGGAUCAGGUAGGAAUACCCGCUGAACUUAAGCAUAUCAAUAAGCGGAGGA
Molecule: unclassified non-coding RNA, 340 nt
Filed under: soil metagenome
Description: partial contains 5.8S ribosomal RNA, internal transcribed spacer 2, and large subunit ribosomal RNA
Rfam family: 5.8S ribosomal RNA (bases 1-120)
Source: RNAcentral